Molecule: ribosomal RNA, 253 nt
Filed under: uncultured bacterium
Lineage: Bacteria
Description: partial 16S ribosomal RNA
Rfam family: Bacterial small subunit ribosomal RNA
Source: RNAcentral
UACGUAGGGGGCAAGCGUUAUCCGGAUUUACUGGGUGUAAAGGGAGCGUAGACGGCGAUGCAAGUCUGAAGUGAAAGGCGGGGGCCCAACCCCCGGACUGCUUUGGAAACUGUAUGGCUGGAGUGCAGGAGAGGUAAGUGGAAUUCCUAGUGUAGCGGUGAAAUGCGUAGAUAUUAGGAGGAACACCAGUGGCGAAGGCGGCUUACUGGACUGUAACUGACGUUGAGGCUCGAGAGCGUGGGGAGCAAACAGG